GUCCUUUUGUUAUUUUUUUAAGGUCUAACCUGCCCAAUGAUUAAUUUUAAUGGCCGCAGUAUUUUAACUGUGCAAAGGUAGCAUAAUCACUUGUCUUUUAAUUGAAGGCUAGAAUGAAUGGUUGGACGAGAAACAAACUUUCUUUAAUAUUAAAUUUAAUAAUUUAAUUUUUUAGUUAAAAAGCUAAAAUUUUUUUUUGGGACGAUAAGACCCUGUAGAAUUUAAUUUAUUUAUGUAUAUAAAAAUUAUAGUUUAUUAUUCUUUUAUAUUCAUAUAUAAUUUGGUUGGGGUGACUUGGAGAUUUUUUUAACUCUUUAUAGUUUUAUUUCAAUAAUUUUUGUUUAUUUUGAUCCAAUUAUUUUGAUUAUAAGAUUAAAUUACCUCAGGGAUAACAGCGUAAUCUAUUUAAAGAGUUCUUAUCGAUAAAUGGGUUUGCGA
RNAcentral lists this ribosomal RNA (438 nucleotides) under Idiotrephes asiaticus. RNAcentral's name for it is "partial 16S ribosomal RNA". Lineage: Eukaryota; Metazoa; Arthropoda; Insecta; Hemiptera; Helotrephidae. The record is from RNAcentral.